AGACGCUCUGCAUCACGAUGAAAUAUUUCUGCCAAUAAGAAAAUAUGAGACGAUCCAGCAGUUUCUAAAAUCUCAGAUAAUUAAUUUACAGGAGAAAUGUUUAAAGAUUCCUCAGUUCCUGAUGUUCAGAACCAGAGAAUCGGGUAAAAACGGAUCUUUACCUUCCGACCGGGCGGGAUCCGGAUCCGGUGAACUCCUGAAAGGAAAACAAGAGAAUCAUCAAGUCCACAGGAUCAUGUUUAACGUCCUCCAUCUGAUGUUUGGGGCUAAAGGCUAAAGGUCAGGCUUAAGGUCAGGUGUGGGUUGUACCUAAGAACUUGACCAGCAGUGAAUGUGGGAACUUCCUCAGAUGCUCCACGUAAAUCUUCAGG
This is a long non-coding RNA of Poecilia latipinna (sailfin molly), 371 nucleotides long. RefSeq lists it as uncharacterized. The transcript has 3 exons. NCBI's taxonomy places the organism in Eukaryota, Metazoa, Chordata, Actinopteri, Cyprinodontiformes, Poeciliidae. The record is from RefSeq and is a predicted model, not a curated record.